AUUGAACGCUGGCGGCAGGCCUAACACAUGCAAGUCGAGCGGUAGCACAGAGAGCUUGCUCUCGGGUGACGAGCGGCGGACGGGUGAGUAAUGUCUGGGAAACUGCCUGAUGGAGGGGGAUAACUACUGGAAACGGUAGCUAAUACCGCAUAACGUCGCAAGACCAAAGUGGGGGACCUUCGGGCCUCAUGCCAUCAGAUGUGCCCAGAUGGGAUUAGCUAGUAGGUGGGGUAAUGGCUCACCUAGGCGACGAUCCCUAGCUGGUCUGAGAGGAUGACCAGCCACACUGGAACUGAGACACGGUCCAGACUCCUACGGGAGGCAGCAGUGGGGAAUAUUGCACAAUGGGCGCAAGCCUGAUGCAGCCAUGCCGCGUGUGUGAAGAAGGCCUUCGGGUUGUAAAGCACUUUCAGCGGGGAGGAAGGCGGUGAGGUUAAUAACCUCAUCGAUUGACGUUACCCGCAGAAGAAGCACCGGCUAACUCCGUGCCAGCAGCCGCGGUAAUACGGAGGGUGCAAGCGUUAAUCGGAAUUACUGGGCGUAAAGCGCACGCAGGCGGUCUGUCAGUCGGAUGUGAAAUCCCCGGGCUCAACCUGGGAACUGCAUUCGAAACUGGCAGGCUAGAGUCUUGUAGAGGGGGGUAGAAUUCCAGGUGUAGCGGUGAAAUGCGUAGAGAUCUGGAGGAAUACCGGUGGCGAAGGCGGCCCCCUGGACAAAGACUGACGCUCAGGUGCGAAAGCGUGGGGAGCAAACAGGAUUAGACACCCUGGUAGUCCACGCCGUAAACGAUGUCGAUUUGGAGGUUGUGCCCUUGAGGCGUGGCUUCCGGAGCUAACGCGUUAAAUCGACCGCCUGGGGAGUACGGCCGCAGGGUUAAAACUCAAAUGAAUUGACGGGGGCCCGCACAAGCGGUGGAGCAUGUGGUUUAAUUCGAUGCAACGCGAAGAACCUUACCUGGUCUUGACAUCCACAGAACUUUCCAGAGAUGGAUUGGUGCCUUCGGGAACUGUGAGACAGGUGCUGCAUGGCUGUCGUCAGCUCGUGUUGUGAAAUGUUGGGUUAAGUCCCGCAACGAGCGCAACCCUUAUCCUUUGUUGCCAGCGGUCCGGCCGGGAACUCAAAGGAGACUGCCAGUGAUAAACUGGAGGAAGGUGGGGAUGACGUCAAGUCAUCAUGGCCCUUACGACCAGGGCUACACACGUGCUACAAUGGCAUAUACAAAGAGAAGCGACCUCGCGAGAGCAAGCGGACCUCAUAAAGUAUGUCGUAGUCCGGAUUGGAGUCUGCAACUCGACUCCAUGAAGUCGGAAUCGCUAGUAAUCGUAGAUCAGAAUGCUACGGUGAAUACGUUCCCGGGCCU
This 1360-nucleotide ribosomal RNA is filed under the name uncultured bacterium. RNAcentral describes it as "bacterial SSU rRNA". It matches the Rfam family "Bacterial small subunit ribosomal RNA", at positions 28 to 1381 of the family's 1533-position model. The record is from RNAcentral.